RNAcentral lists this long non-coding RNA (687 nucleotides) under Columba livia (rock pigeon). RNAcentral's name for it is "partial uncharacterized LOC102093691, transcript variant X2". Lineage: Eukaryota; Metazoa; Chordata; Aves; Columbiformes; Columbidae. The record is from RNAcentral.
GACACUUGUGUUGUCUCUCACGCAGUGUGAGGGAAGCAAAACCCUGCUUCUCUCACUUCCUUGUUUAGAGUCUUUCCUGCCAGCUGAGUCUCUUCAGUGUUUGGAGUUUUUAAAGGCUGUGGGUUCUUAACCCCUUGCUGCAUGCUGCUUUCUGAGCAGUCUGGAGAUGGCCUAAAGGUGAGGCAGACACUUCCAGCGCUGCGGAGCCUGUGCCGCAGUUGCCCUGAGGAGAGCCAUCUGCCACGGGCUGGGGAUAACCGCGUGCCCGAGCAAGCCUGAGCAUCUGUGGGGACUGCUGCGGCAUCCUGGUGAUGAAGUAGAGCCUGAGAACAUGGUGAAGCAGCACAGAGGGUACUGAAGCAUAGUCUGGCUGUUGAAGGAGCACCACAGAUUGGAGCUCUGCAGGAUGUGUGGCCAGGCACUAAGGACAAGCUCUGCCUCGCAGCGUGGACACAGCGAAGUGCUGGGGCUGCAUCGCAGAUGGGGCGGCGGGGGGCUGUGCCCUGGCUGGGGAUGAGACGGGCUGCGUGGCGCUCUGGGCACUGCUGGGAGGAGGGAGCGGGACGUUGUGUCGGGGAGGCUGAAGUUUGGGCAUUUAGUGAGUGAUGUGCAAUCCUGGCAACGGGAAUUUGCUUGAUGUGCCAAGUGGUUGGGUACCUUGGACUACGAAUGUUCAUCAUGUGAGUA